GACGAACGCUGGCGGCGUGCUUAACACAUGCAAGUCGAACGGAAAGGCCCUGCUUGCAGGGUGCUCGAGUGGCGAACGGGUGAGUAACACGUGGGUGAUCUGCCCCUUACUUUGGGAUAAGCCUGGGAAACUGGGUCUAAUACUGGAUAGGACCAUGCUGUAGGUGGUGUGGUGGAAAGAUUAGUUUCGGUAAGGGAUGAGCUCGCGGCCUAUCAGCUUGUUGGUGGGGUAAUGGCCUACCAAGGCGUCGACGGGUAGCCGGCCUGAGAGGGUGGACGGCCACAUUGGGACUGAGAUACGGCCCAGACUCCUACGGGAGGCAGCAGUGGGGAAUAUUGCACAAUGGGCGCAAGCCUGAUGCAGCGACGCCGCGUGGGGGGUGACGGCCUUCGGGUUGUAAACUCCUUUCAGCCAUGACGAAGCCCUUGUGGUGACGGUAGUGGUAGAAGAAGCACCGGCUAACUACGUG
RNAcentral lists this ribosomal RNA (469 nucleotides) under uncultured bacterium. Its description in RNAcentral is "partial 16S ribosomal RNA". It matches the Rfam family "Bacterial small subunit ribosomal RNA", at positions 28 to 507 of the family's 1533-position model. The record is from RNAcentral.